UUGUACACACCGCCCGUCAAGCCAUGGAAGUUGGGGGUACCUAAAGUAUGUAACCGCAAGGAGCGUCCUAGGGUAAAACCGAUAACUGGGGCUAAGUCGUAACAAGGUAGCCGUACCGGAAGGUGCGGCUGGAAUACCU
Molecule: ribosomal RNA, 139 nt
Filed under: Pedobacter antarcticus
Lineage: Bacteria; Pseudomonadati; Bacteroidota; Sphingobacteriia; Sphingobacteriales; Sphingobacteriaceae
Also listed under: 5 other names
Description: partial 16S ribosomal RNA
Rfam family: Bacterial small subunit ribosomal RNA
Source: RNAcentral